CCCUUAGAUGUUCUGGGCCGCACGCGUAUUACAAUGGCGUCGUCAAUUGGCAACAAAACUCCUGUAAAAGGGAGUGGUAUCCCAUUAAUUGACGUCAAACUUGGGAUUGGCUAUUGGAAUUAUUACUCUUCAACGAGGAAUUCCUAGUAAUGAUGGUUCAUCAGACCGUCGUGAUUACGUCCCUGCCCUUUGUACACACCGCCCGUCGCUCCUACCGAUUGAACGAUCCGGUGAGUUGUUUGGAGUAGUGAUGAUCGGGGCAACCUGAUUCUUCGCCGCAAAAUUCCGCUAACCUUAUCGUUUAGAGGAAGGAGAAGUCGCAACA
RNAcentral lists this ribosomal RNA (325 nucleotides) under uncultured eukaryote. RNAcentral describes it as "partial 18S ribosomal RNA". It matches the Rfam family "Eukaryotic small subunit ribosomal RNA", at positions 1470 to 1796 of the family's 1831-position model. The record is from RNAcentral.